UACGAAGGGGGCUAGCGUUGUUCGGAUUUACUGGGCGUAAAGCGCACGUAGGCGAUUUGUUAAGUCAGGGGUGAAAUCCCAGAGCUCAACUCUGGAACUGCCUUUGAUACUGGCAAGCUCGAGUCCGGAAGAGGUAAGUGGAACUCCUAGUGUAGAGGUGGAAUUCGUAGAUAUUAGGAAGAACACCAGUGGCGAAGGCGGCUUACUGGUCCGGAACUGACGCUGAGGUGCGAAAGCGUGGGGAGCAAACAGG
Molecule: ribosomal RNA, 253 nt
Filed under: uncultured bacterium
Lineage: Bacteria
Description: partial 16S ribosomal RNA
Rfam family: Bacterial small subunit ribosomal RNA
Source: RNAcentral